GAUGAACGCUGGCGGCGUGCCUAAUACAUGCAAGUCGAGCGAACAGACGAGGAGCUUGCUCCUCUGACGUUAGCGGCGGACGGGUGAGUAACACGUGGAUAACCUACCUAUAAGACUGGGAUAACUUCGGGAAACCGGCGCUAAUACCGGAUAAUAUCUUGAACCGCAUGGUUCAAUAGUGAAAGACGGUUUUGCUGUCACUUCUAGCUGGAUCCGCGCCGCAUUAGCUAGUUGGUAAGGUAACGGCUUACCAAGGCGACGAUGCGUAGCCGACCUGAGAGGGGGAUAGGCGACACUGGAGCUGGGACACGGUCCAGGCUCCUACGGGAGGCAGCAGUAGGGAAUCUUCCGCAGUGGGCGAAAGCCUGACGGAGCAACGCCGCGUGAGUGAUGAAGGUCUUCGGAUCGUAAAACUCUGUUAUUAGGGAAGAACAAAUGUGUAAGUAACUAUGCACGUCUUGACGGUACCGAAUCAGAAAGCCACGGCUAACUACGUG
This 497-nucleotide ribosomal RNA is filed under the name uncultured bacterium. Its description in RNAcentral is "partial 16S ribosomal RNA". It matches the Rfam family "Bacterial small subunit ribosomal RNA", at positions 28 to 507 of the family's 1533-position model. The record is from RNAcentral.